Molecule: ribosomal RNA, 486 nt
Filed under: uncultured bacterium
Lineage: Bacteria
Description: partial 16S ribosomal RNA
Rfam family: Bacterial small subunit ribosomal RNA
Source: RNAcentral
AUUGAACGCUGGCGGCAUGCCUUACACAUGCAAGUCGAACGGCAGCACGGGUGCUUGCACCUGGUGGCGAGUGGCGAACGGGUGAGUAAUACAUCGGAACAUGUCCUGUAGCGGGGGAUAGCCCGGCGAAAGCCGGAUUAAUACCGCAUACGAUCUACGGAUGAAAGCGGGGGACCUUCGGGCCUCGCGCUAUAGGGUUGGCCGAUGGCUGAUUAGCUAGUUGGUGGGGUAAAGGCCUACCAAGGCGACGAUCAGUAGCUGGUCUGAGAGGACGACCAGCCACACUGGGACUUAGACACGGCCCAGACUCCUACGGGAGGCAGCAGUGGGGAAUUUUGGACAAUGGGCGAAAGCCUGAUCCAGCAAUGCCGCGUGUGUGAAGAAGGCCUUCGGGUUGUAAAGCACUUUUGUCCGGAAAGAAAUCCUUGGCCCUAAUACGGUCGGGGGAUGACGGUACCGGAAGAAUAAGCACCGGCUAACUACGUG